AACCUCCGCAAUGUGAGAAAUCGCGACGGGGGGAUCCCAAGUGCCAUUCUUAACGGGAUGGCUUUUCAUUAGUGUAAAAAGCUUUUGGAAUAAGAGCUGGGCAAGACCGGUGCCAGCCGCCGCGGUAACACCGGCAGCUCUAGUGGUAGCAAUUUUUAUUGGGCCUAAAGCGUCCGUAGCCGGUUUAAUAAGUCUCUGGUGAAAUCCUGUAGCUUAACUGUGGGAAUUGCUGGAGAUACUAUUAGACUUGAGACCGGGAGAGGUUAGAGGUACUCCCAGGGUAGAGGUGAAAUUCUGUAAUCCUGGGAGGACCGCCUGUUGCGAAGGCGUCUAACUGGAACGGUUCUGACGGUGAGGGACGAAAGUUAGGGGCGCGAACCGGAUUAGAUACCCGGGUAGUCCUAACUGUAAACGAUGCGGACUUGGUGUUGGGGUGGCUUUGAGCUGCUCCAGUGUCGAAGGGAAGCUGUUAAGUCCGCCGCCUGGGAAGUACGGUCGCAAGACUAGAAUUUAAAGGAAUU
This 521-nucleotide ribosomal RNA is filed under the name uncultured bacterium. RNAcentral's name for it is "bacterial SSU rRNA". It matches the Rfam family "Archaeal small subunit ribosomal RNA", at positions 345 to 866 of the family's 1478-position model. The record is from RNAcentral.